UGAUCCACGAUUACUAGCGAUUCCGACUUCACGGAGUCGAGUUGCAGACUCCGAUCCGGACUACGACGCACUUUUUGGGAUUCGCUCACUCUCGCAAGUUGGCCGCCCUCUGUAUGCGCCAUUGUAGCACGUGUGUAGCCCUACUCGUAAGGGCCAUGAUGACUUGACGUCGUCCCCACCUUCCUCCGGUUUAUCACCGGCAGUCUCCCUGGAGUUCCCGACAUUACUCGCUGGCAAACAAGGAUAAGGGUUGCGCUCGUUGCGGGACUUAACCCAACAUUUCACAACACGAGCUGACGACAGCCAUGCAGCACCUGUCUCAGAGUUCCCGAAGGCACCAAUCCAUCUCUGGAAAGUUCUCUGGAUGUCAAGAGUAGGUAAGGUUCUUCGCGUUGCAUCGAAUUAAACCACAUGCUCCACCGCUUGUGCGGGCCCCCGUCAAUUCAUUUGAGUUUUAAUCUUGCGACCGUACUCCCCAGGCGGUCUACUUAACGCGUUAGCUCCG
RNAcentral lists this ribosomal RNA (505 nucleotides) under Vibrio gallicus. RNAcentral's name for it is "partial 16S ribosomal RNA". The record is from RNAcentral. Lineage: Bacteria; Pseudomonadati; Pseudomonadota; Gammaproteobacteria; Vibrionales; Vibrionaceae.